CUUUACAGAAGGGAUGCAACACUCCUAGAGAAUCUAGAGCACGGUUCAACAAUGUGCGAAGUAUGUUAGUACAGCUUCAAUCUCUAAACUGAGCGGUCUGGAAGAUGAGUGAGAAUUUUGCACCGGCAACAUGUUUGUGUAAGACACUCCGAGUGGAGAUAGUGUAGAACCUAGCUUGUUUGCUGGUUGUGCUUUUUCGCCGAGUCGCGUCUCGUGUCGCGAUAACGAUUACAUUACGGGUGCAUCAUCAGAGGUACUGGAACUCGGGCUGAUAUCGCAGAAGCAUUACUCGAGACGUGUCAAUACCUCAGGAAGUGUAUUCCAGAAGAGCAGUUGUGCGCAAUUAUUUCCUCCGCCUGCAGCAUGAAAAUAUAUUCCUACGUGCUUGGCAAGUUAGAGGAUGUGGGAGAAUAAGUGCUUAUCCUUGUCGAAUCGUGCUGCAGGUUAAUGAGCCUUGCAUAUAUCUAGUGGGUGGCAGGCAGCCAGCCGCCAGAGUGAAGUGUUGCCGUAGCAGUUGCUGCGACUGGUACGAUCCUCCGGCGAGUGAAUUGGACUGGAUGUUUGAAGCGGAGCUACAGUGAAUCUUACAGAGCUUACAUUAAUUUGGAAGUUCAUGAUGUGUACACCAUUGUACAGUCAAUAGUUGAAUGGAUAGCCGACUGACUAGUAGAACCAAUUUUACCGCACCGGCUCGCUACAUUCUUCAUCCAGUUUUUUCGUAGUUCGCCAAGAUUUCAUAAUUCUGAUACGGCAACAGUGCUCUUCGAUGUUUAUCCUUGGUAAAAAAUCUAGCGACGAAACCCGUAGUACUAACGUAACUUCGUGAGAAAAACACCGUGCGAGGGUUUUUGUGGUGUUGAUGUUUUGAAAAAAAAAAAAAAGUUUCCUAAGGCUGUUUGGCUUCUGAUUGUUUUAUGUGAGUUCGCGGAAAGCGUGUUUGUUAAAAGCGAAGUUUGCUCGUUAAAUGUGCUGAACCCGAAAAGAAUGAUUGUGUGCGAAUAUCGUGAAAAUAAUCAUAAUUGAAGUUACGCUAACACACAUUGUUCAGAGGUGGCUGCGGGAAAUCGGAUUUUGCAUACCUACUUCAAGUUGCUGUGAUUUCUUUAUUUUCGAGAGCAUCGAGAGUCUGCUGGAUAUCUGAGCCCAUAUGACGUUUACCUCUACAGACGGCACCGGUAACGACAAAGAACAACAGCAGAAGCUAUGUGUUUCACUUGACGCCAUAUCCAAAACAAGAAUGAAAUUGUAUUGUUUUGUGGCUGUCUUUUGUAUCAAGUUGCCAGAGAAAGCUUAAUUUAGGCAGUGGCUACGAUGAGGGCCAAUAGUGCAUUCCCGGUAACCUAGGUUUAAAACGAACAAUUUUCUGCAGUUUGCAGUAGCGUAGAUAAUUUUAAAACUGAUCGCUGCAAAUAGAAGGACUUGAGCGAAGAUUAUGUGAUUCAGGUUCACUGGCGCAAACAUUCUUCAAAUAAAUGUUAAAAUACACUCAGUAAACUUUGAAGUUAAAAUUUCAAGACGGAAUGUAGCACCAAGGCAUUGCUUUACAUUAUCAAUACACAAAAUUUAAAAUUGUUAAAAAAGUUGUUUAAGUUAAUAUUUCCGAAAUCUCAUUUUUUGUUAUGAAAACACUAUAAACGGUUAGCUAAAUAUUUGUUGUCUGAUCAUGGCAAACUGAGAGAGAAAAAGUUACGAUGGCAGUUCGUAACGUUAAUGACUUUUGGCCGAUAGCUACAAUUUUCCACCGCCGUGCAUCGGAAAUUGCCAUUCUCCGCCACAAACAUUUGCCGAACUUUUUCGGAUACAUUAUUUUU
Long non-coding RNA from Wyeomyia smithii (pitcher-plant mosquito), 1811 nucleotides. RefSeq lists it as uncharacterized. NCBI's taxonomy places the organism in Eukaryota, Metazoa, Arthropoda, Insecta, Diptera, Culicidae. The record is from RefSeq and is a predicted model, not a curated record. The transcript is spliced from 3 exons.